RNAcentral lists this ribosomal RNA (518 nucleotides) under uncultured bacterium. RNAcentral's name for it is "bacterial SSU rRNA". It matches the Rfam family "Bacterial small subunit ribosomal RNA", at positions 8 to 518 of the family's 1533-position model. The record is from RNAcentral.
AGGGUUCGAUUCUGGCUCAGGAUGAACGCUAGCUACAGGCUUAACACAUGCAAGUCGGGGGGCAGCAUUGGAGUAGCAAUACUUCAGAUGGCGACCGGCGCACGGGUGAGUAACACGUAUCCAACCUGCCGCUUACUCGGGGAUAGCCUUUCGAAAGAAAGAUUAAUACCCGAUGGUAUAAAGAGUUCGCAUGUUCUCUUUAUUAAAGAAUUUCGGUAAGCGAUGGGGAUGCGUUCCAUUAGAUUGUUGGCGGGGUAACGGCCCACCAAGUCUACGAUGGAUAGGGGUUCUGAGAGGAAGGUCCCCCACAUUGGAACUGAGACACGGUCCAAACUCCUACGGGAGGCAGCAGUGAGGAAUAUUGGUCAAUGGACGAGAGUCUGAACCAGCCAAGUAGCGUGAAGGAUGACUGCCCUAUGGGUUGUAAACUUCUUUUAUAAGGGAAUAAAGUGAGGGACGUGUCCCUUUUUGUAUGUACCUUAUGAAUAAGGAUCGGCUAACUCCGUGCCAGCAGCAGC